This 253-nucleotide ribosomal RNA is filed under the name uncultured bacterium. RNAcentral describes it as "partial 16S ribosomal RNA". It matches the Rfam family "Bacterial small subunit ribosomal RNA", at positions 524 to 776 of the family's 1533-position model. The record is from RNAcentral.
UACGUAGGGGGCGAGCGUUGUCCGGAAUUAUUGGGCGUAAAGAGCGUGUAGGCGGUUCGGUAAGUCUGCCGUGAAAACCUGGGGCUCAACCCUGGGCGUGCGGUGGAUACUGCCGGGCUAGAGGGUGGUAGAGGCGAGUAGAAUUCCCGGUGUAGCGGUGAAAUGCGCAGAUAUCAGGAGGAACACCAAUGGCGAAGGCAGCUCGCUGGGACGUGACUGACGCUGAGACGCGAAAGCGUGGGGAGCAAACAGG